RNAcentral lists this transfer RNA (76 nucleotides) under Loxodonta africana (African savanna elephant). It matches the Rfam family "tRNA". From Rfam's summary of the family: Transfer RNA (tRNA) molecules are approximately 80 nucleotides in length. Their secondary structure includes four short double-helical elements and three loops (D, anti-codon, and T loops). The record is from Rfam by way of RNAcentral. Lineage: Eukaryota; Metazoa; Chordata; Mammalia; Proboscidea; Elephantidae.
GCACUGGUAGUUCAGUGGUAUAAUUCCCGCCUUGCCUUCCACUCAGGAGACCCGGGUUCAAUUCCCAGCCAGUGUA